Mangifera indica (mango) is the source of this 76-nucleotide small nucleolar RNA. RefSeq annotates it as small nucleolar RNA snoR122. The record is from RefSeq and is a predicted model, not a curated record. Lineage: Eukaryota; Viridiplantae; Streptophyta; Magnoliopsida; Sapindales; Anacardiaceae. The transcript has a single exon.
GGCCGAUGAUGCAUCUAAAUGCACAUAUUAUCAGAUAUGAUUGUGAUGAUAAUUGAUUGUCACUACCUCUGAGGCA